GGUGAGAUGGCCGAGCGGUCUAAGGCGCCAGACUAAGGUAUAACGACCAGGACAUUUGAUGUCCUCGCAGCUUCUGCGUAAUCUGGUCUUUCGGGGCGUGGGUUCGAAUCCCACUCUCAUCA
Molecule: non-coding RNA, 122 nt
Organism: Psilocybe cubensis
Lineage: Eukaryota; Fungi; Basidiomycota; Agaricomycetes; Agaricales; Agrocybaceae
Source: the annotation of a RefSeq genome assembly